GACGAACGCUGGCGGCGUGCUUAAUACAUGCAAGUCGAACGGAAAGGCCCGGCUUUUGUUGGGUGCUCGAGUGGCGAACGGGUGAGUAACACGUGAGUAACCUGCCCUUGACUUUGGGGUAACUUCAGGAAACUGGGGCUAAUACCGGAUAGGAGCUCCUGCUGCAUGGUGGGGGUUGGAAAGUUUCGGCGGUUGGGGAUGGACUCGCGGCUUAUCAGCUUGUUGGUGGGGUAGUGGCUUACCAAGGCUUUGACGGGUAGCCGGCCUGAGAGGGUGGACGGCCACAUUGGGACUGAGAUACGGACCAGACUGCUACGGGCGGCAGCAGUGGAGAAUAUUGCACAACGGGCGGAAGUCUGAUGCAGAAACGCCGGGUGCGGGAUGACGGCCUUCGGGUGGUAAACAGCUUUCGAAGGUGACGAAGAGUGCGUGACGGUAAUGGGUAAAGAAGCAACGGCUAACUACGUG
Molecule: ribosomal RNA, 468 nt
Filed under: uncultured bacterium
Lineage: Bacteria
Description: partial 16S ribosomal RNA
Rfam family: Bacterial small subunit ribosomal RNA
Source: RNAcentral